UACGAGCCUCACAAACGUUAUUCGGAAUUACUGGGCUUAAAGGGUGCGUAGGCGGUGCGGAAAGUUGGGUGUGAAAUCCCUCGGCUCAACCGAGGAACUGCGCUCAAAACUGCCGUACUCGAGGAAGAUAGAGGUGAGCGGAACUUACGGUGGAGCGGUGAAAUGCGUUGAUAUCGUAAGGAACACCCGUGGCGAAAGCGGCUCACUGGGUCUUAUCUGACGCUGAUGCACGAAAGCUAGGGGAGCAAACGGG
Molecule: ribosomal RNA, 253 nt
Filed under: uncultured bacterium
Lineage: Bacteria
Description: partial 16S ribosomal RNA
Rfam family: Bacterial small subunit ribosomal RNA
Source: RNAcentral